RNAcentral lists this ribosomal RNA (364 nucleotides) under Lithoglyphus naticoides. RNAcentral's name for it is "partial 12S ribosomal RNA". The record is from RNAcentral. Lineage: Eukaryota; Metazoa; Mollusca; Gastropoda; Littorinimorpha; Hydrobiidae.
UCUUGAAUAUAAACUCAUAAUACCAGGGAACUACGAACAAUAAUAUAGUUUAAAACCCAAAGAACUUGGCGGUGUUUCAGACUACUUAGGGGAACCUGUUUCAUAAUCGACAAUCCACGAUAAACCUAACCUUAUUUACAAUAAGUAUGUAUACCGUUGUCGUCAGGUAACUUUUAAAAAUAUAGAAGUUAGCAAUAAAAAAAUUAAUUUUAACGUCAAAUCAAGGUGCAGCCAAUAAUAAGGUGAGAAUGGGUUACAAUUAAAAUUUAUAAUACGGAAUAAAUUAAGAAAUAAAUUUAUGAAGGAGGACUUAAAAGUAAAAAAAUAAGUAUAAAAAUUUUUUGAAUAAAGCUCUGAAACGUGC